RNAcentral lists this ribosomal RNA (492 nucleotides) under uncultured bacterium. RNAcentral describes it as "partial 16S ribosomal RNA". It matches the Rfam family "Bacterial small subunit ribosomal RNA", at positions 29 to 507 of the family's 1533-position model. The record is from RNAcentral.
AGUGAACGCUGGCGGUAGGCCUAACACAUGCAAGUCGAACGGCAGCACAGUAAGAGCUUGCUCUUACGGGUGGCGAGUGGCGGACGGGUGAGGAAUACAUCGGAAUCUACUUUUUCGUGGGGGAUAACGUAGGGAAACUUACGCUAAUACCGCAUACGACCUACGGGUGAAAGCAGGGGAUCUUCGGACCUUGCGCGAUUGAAUGAGCCGAUGUCGGAUUAGCUAGUUGGCGGGGUAAAGGCCCACCAAGGCGACGACCCGUAGCUGGUCUGAGAGGAUGAUCAGCCACACUGGAACUGAGACACGGUCCAGACUCCUACGGGAGGCAGCAGUGGGGAAUAUUGGACAAUGGGCGCAAGCCUGAUCCAGCCAUACCGCGUGGGUGAAGAAGGCCUUCGGGUUGUAAAGCCCUUUUGUUGGGAAAGAAAAGCAGCAGGUUAAUACCCCGCUGUUCUGACGGUACCCAAAGAAUAAGCACCGGCCAACUUCGUG